CACACAGCAACAUUUGCAGCAGAAUUUCUUUAUUACAAAAAGUUACAAGUUACAACAAAUUUACAAUAUAUUUAUCGGAGUGAUUACAAAAGUGAUUCAAAGAAAUAUACUUUGAAAUGUUAUAAAUUAUUUAUGAUUUUGAAAUAUAUGCUAGCUCAAUGACAAUCCUCAAUAAGAAGUAUAGAAGAGCUACUUUAACCUAUAAGAAGGCCGAGCCCACUAGCACUUAGCACCAUCAACAACAGCACAAAUCUAUUACCUGCAACAACAUGGGUUCGAAAACCCUGAGUACGGAGUGUACUUUCGCAAGUCUUACACGUUUAAGGAAAAAGACUCUCAAGGAUAUGCUGGAUUUUGGGAAUCAAGGUAAAGCUUAUCAAGAUUCAAAGACUCCAUUUGUAGAAAGGCUUACUAGUAGUGGAUCCCUAUGCCAAAAUUUUACUUCACAAGUUAAGUACUUUUCCAGAAUCUAUAUUUGCCUAAUCUAGAGCAUUCACUUGUCCUAGUCUAGCUUUCUUUUACCAAAUUCUUAUUUUACUUAUUAACUACGAUGAGUGGUCAGAGGGUAGAGUCUCCAUGACUGAGGAGCAACGACGAUUCAAAUCGAUUAUUCCUAGCUGGGGAUUCCUAACCACACGACAUUUGUAGCACUUAACCCAUGCAUAUGUCAACCGUUCCCACAGAUCCUCCACAACAUGAACCGGUCCACGCUACCUGGGAGCAUAGUACUCCUCUGUCCAGCCUCUAGCCAGGAGGGUACACGCUACUCCCACCAUCUCCCAUGCUCAGUGCGUGGUUGUCUUUUCACAUAUGGAAUAGCCGAGUUCAGGCUUACCGGAGCAUGUGGCUAGUUGCAAAGUCUCCACAACAACAGGCCUACAUCGAUCAGUCCUUAAUCAACGCAGAUGGGCGAACUUUCCUGCUCAACGUCUAGUCUACAUUACAUAUUAUUUCCCAAAACUUGAUACCUGAGAGAGACACCCUACUUGAAUGAUGAAAUCAUUGCGGCUACAAUGGGUUCAUCAUCACAAGUCCUUUUAUUUCACAAACUCCCAUAUCCCGUGUUACACAUCAUCUUUAAAAAACCAUCCUAAAUUAAUAAGCAGGGCUAAGCAUCACUAAAUUUUCAUAAAACAGGUAUUAGGGUUGUUUAAUCAAGGAUGGAAAUGCAUCAACUGUUUGAUCACACAACUCCUAUCACAUAAUGCAUCAUUCAAGGUUAUAAAUUUUUGUAAACAUCAAGGAAAGAGGUGAAUGCACGGGGGCUUGCCUAGGAUAAACACUACGUUAGUGUUGUUAGAGACAUCUGGUUGGCGAACAUCCAAAAUCCUGGUACGGUCAAUACAUUCAUCUUCUGUCGACAUAGUCACUAAGAUAUCGUCGGUCCAUGCCCUUCAUCUCGCACGAUCAUUAGCGUACCUACAUGAUAUGCGAGAUGCACAUGAAUGGAUAGGAGCAUAGAUACCACAUCAACUAAAUCAAGAACCACACCACUUGUUCUAAUAAAUAGGGCCUUAUUAAACAACAUAAGAGUUUUCCCAAGAUCAUAAUUUAAACCCUACAAAUUUAAAAUACUAAGGUGGAAUGCCUACUAUGUAGUUUUCAUAUUUCUUUGAAGGGGGCUUAAGGGUAAUACAUGCUUUCAACUAAUUUGAAUAACGAUGAAUAUUUAUUCAAGACGAUUAGCUUAAGCACUCAAGCUCUAUUUAUGACUUUUAAUCAAUCAACAAAUAUAACACCCGACAAUUACUAUGGCAAGACAAUAAUGAAAUGAUAAAACAGUACAAAUAACUCUAGGCGAAUAUGUUUAUCUAACUGACAGAAUUACCAAACUUAUUCUAUAUAUUCACUAAAACACUUCUAGCAUAAUAAGCACGUCAAACUUAAAACCACAAGAACUAUCCAAACCUAGUGACCUACACAAAAGAAGUUCCAAACAACCAUUUUAAUACUUGCUGAUUUUGGACAGCAAGACAGCAACUAUUUGUUUAGCUCAUAACUCACAAGAUAUUCAUUCUAAAAUAGUAAACUAGAACUUUCUGGAAAUCUUAUGAAGUUCUCUACAACUUUGGUAUUACCAUCGGAACAAGAUUCGACAUUUAGAAAUGUCAAACAGUGCUAAACGUAAAUUAUGUCCAGAUUAGGACAGAAUUCGACUACUCACUUCAAAAAUUCAUAACUGGAGUCUCGAGCAUCUAAUUCAGGUGAUCCUAGACUUUUUCGAAAGCUAAUAGAAUUGUCUACAAUUCAUUUAUAAAUAUCUCAGGUUAAUUCAGUUCUUAUCAAGGUCAAAAGACAUGAGAAAGGCUAUGCUGUCUAAAUUUGGACAGAUUCAGAGUUCACACUUUAAACAGUUAUAACUUAACUUAUAGAUCAUCAAAAAGGGUGAUCUAAGACUUUUUGGAAAGAUUAAAAACAGUACUACAAUUCUUCUAUAAUUAGUAAGGGCUGAUUCUCAGUUUAAUUUAGUCAAACAAAGCAAUUUUCGAAAUCAGUACAGAAUUUGGACAGAUUCAGGUACUGGAAUUUGAAAAAUCAUAACUCUUAAACUACUUAACCUAUGGUCAUUUAAUUUUUACACAAACAAGAUAAAGAAGUUGGCUACAACUUUUGUAUAUAACAUUUCUACAUAAAAUAUGGUUUACUUCAUUGAACUAGCUGUAUAACUAAAACUGUACCUGCAGCCCUAAACAGUAAUACAUUCAGUUUAACUCCUAUUUGGCUUCUAAAAUUAUCUAUGUUCUUGACGCUUACUAACGCAAGGCAUUAAUGAUACUACACAAUUGAAAUUUAUACAAAUAACACUAAUAGUUCUUAUCGGCUACACAAUUUAAAAUGCUAGUCCUACUUCUCGCAUUAUUAAUUAAAUCUCACCUAGCACAUAAGUCUAAGAACACAUGGCGCGACUACUAUAUAUUCACGAAAACAAUUACAACACCAUAUGAGAGGAAACAUUUCUGCAACACAUUAUGAGCAACAUAUAACACAAAGGAAAAGAGAAAGAUAUCAUUCGCUGAGCAUCGCCACAAUAUAACUAACCAAUCCAACUAAUAGUAAAAACAAAUCAGCUCACCAUAAUCGAAUCGACUCGAUAUAUGUAAGAACGGCGACAGUUCCUUGGUUCUAUUUCGUCGAACACCUAGAGCGCACCGAACUGAGACAUGUUUCCUUCAUCGAUUCAGUCACUUCAUCGAACAUAAGGGAUGCAAGCUAGCAGAGACAGCGGGGGGCUCACUGGCAUGGACGACGUUGUGGCCUGGGCGAGCACAUGGGGAGCAACGUCGGCAUGGGGAGGCAUGGCCGACGGCGCACAGCCGGAGUUGACGACACCGGAGCUGAGAGGGGCAGGGCCGGUGGGCUAACGGAGCUGGCGAGCAUUGGCACGGUUGGAGAAGGAGCAGGGCUUAGAGGCCUUGUGCCAUAGAGCUUGGCUACCGGCGAGCUGAUGCAGGGCGCUGGGAGCUCGAGCACAGGGAGCAGCUCGGCUACCGGCAAAGACCAAGCGCAGACGAGCUGAACAUCUACAGGGAGCCGUGACUUCAGAAACAGAGAAAAAAUGGCAUAAGAAAACAGAUGAGCUGUGUUCCUAGGAAACUAGUGGAUAACGCCUAUGAGAUGAAAGAUGUGGCUGGUAGAAAAUCCUAGGCUUUCUACGUGGAGGUGGAGGAGAUAAAGGAAUGUAUACCGGAAUUUCUAGAGCUAGUACGUGGAGGAGUACGUGGAGGGCAUAAUGAGCUCCAAUGGAUAAGGGAGGAGAGACUACGUGAUUAGGAUAAGAGGGAACGCAGUGGGGGAAUUUGGUUUUUUUUCUUUUCUAUUUUUUAGACUAAAGCAAAAUGCAGAUAUUUUGAUGUUAUAAAAUUAGUGUCUAAAAGAUGUAUAAAAGGAUCGAACAAAAUAAGAUCGACAACAAUAUUUGGACCGAAUUUAAUUUGAUGAAUACUUCGGAGUCAGAUGAAUUUUCACUCAUUAUUUAUAUAUGAAGUUUUGGAUCUGGGCGAUAAACACAUGGACCAAAUCAAACGAGAUCAACUUCGAUAUUGUAGACUAUAUUAGAUCCAGUUUAAUUCAGAUAAAUAUCACCCGCCAACCAAACCCAUGAUUCUCUGACGUGAAUACCAUACUGGAAGAACAAUCCCAAAUAUAAACCUCGCACAUAAAUUUUCUCCAAUAACGUGUGCGGUCGGAUUAUAAAGUUUAGACACUCUGUAAAUUUAUUCUCACCCACUCGAGUGAUUCACACAGUAUAGAACUCGACGUCUCGGGAGAUACUUAAAUUUCAAACUUCAUAAAAUAUUUAGAAUAGUCCAAAUGAAUAGAAAUGCAGACGAUACAUGAGAUAGUGUUUUAGACGAGAUGUCAAUGGACCAAACCAAACGACAUCAGAGUCGAUAUAUUAAGACUGUGCUUAAUUUGAUUCGAUUCGAAACCCGAUUAUUUUAUCUGCAGUCUGAACAGGGAAACAUAUUAAUUAUGAAUACUCAAUAUCAGCUCUAAUUAUCUCGGUCCAAUUUAAUCUCGCAUCAACACUCUUGUCGUCGAGCUUCUAAUAAAUUUUGUUCGGGACGAAAUUGGAAGUCUGAACUAAGUUUCCAAAUUUGUAUUUGAGCAAACCGAUGAACUUUAAAUAAUCACCAGACUCGCUAAUUUUUGGAACAAUUAUGUUCCGAACAUCACGAAAAUUUUUAAGAAGAAGAUGAUUAGGACAUAGACACCGUUAUUCUCAUAGAUAAUUUUUUUAGAUCCAUACUCAUGGUCAAACGGAAGAUAAACACCUAGGGUGUUACAACCCUCCCCCCUUAAAAGAAUCUCGUCCCAAGAUUCGGAACGAAAGACUUCUAAGAGUAGAGCAACGUGUAACUCCUGUCCAUAUCAGUGACAACAUAAGGUAGUUCCAAACAGAGACUAGUAUCUUAGAAUGUUGCUUCUCUAGUUUGUAUAGCAUGUACCACUUUAGGUUAACUAGACAGGUCAAUAAAGAGACGAUGUCUGACAGAAGAACUCGUAAAGUUUCAUAUGUGUUGUUUUCUUUGUCUGACAACAUGAGUUUGUUGAGUGAGCAGUGGACAGAUGGAUAGAAGUUAUCCAAAGCAAGUUGGAUGCAACCUCAUGGGUAAAACACAAAAGAGGUUUGUCGAUAAGUCAGCAUUAGAACUCCAUAGCACAUGAGAUGAGUGUGGAUGUUGAACAACAUAACGGUUAACUCGUGGUUAGGCAGAGAAUUUAAGUCCAAGAAAAAGGAUAGAGCCUCGAAAAGACAUCAGGGAUGGAAUCUGCAGAUGUUGACUUCAUAAUCAAUUCAGUUUAUCAAGCACUAAGCAUGGCUCGACUUGAUCACACAUGCUGGAAAAGCACACGUGAGGCGAUCGAGGCAUGACUAGAGCGAUGAUUAGGUGGUUACCAGUCAACUUGACUUGAUUCUUGUAAGUACUUCCCUAGGAUGGGUUGAACUAAAGUGAGUUUAGACAACUCGACAAAACGAUUUCUAAACUCAAUCUUUGUUUAUAAGGUAGCUACAAGUUAGUAAAACCAACUUGUUGAACUACUUUGGACAUGAAAUAAUAAUUUUUUAUCACACGGUUAGACACAGAUGGGUUCCAAUUUUCAAUGGAGACUUCUAAAUUGCUAGUGAAUUCGUUAAAGAGCACAUUAAAGCGGUAUGCUUCUUGAUUCAAUAGAGAUGACAGAUGUUGCUUGAGUAUUUCACAAACAACAUAGAAAUUGUUUCAAGGGAAAGGUUUAUGGAAGAUAAUAUAUCGGUGUAGUUCCGUAAUGGAUCAUGACUAGAGACCUCGAUACCAGCAUGCGCUGAGCAGAAAAUCCUGUGUGCGCAUUCACAGGAGGCUAUUAGUCUCGUCGCGGCACCAUAAGUCAUUAAUCAUGACACCAUUGUUGAACAUCACCAACAAUGAAUCCCAUGUGGUAAGAACAAUUUGUGUAGAGAUAACAUAUCGCUAUAGUCUCAUAAUGGAUUAUGACUACUAACUGUGAUACCAGCGCGUGCCUAGUAGCGCAACCAUGUGUUGAUCACCCACAUGAAGCCCUCGGUUUCGUAGCGGCACCAUUGGUUUUAGUCAUAACACCAUUACUAGACGUAACCAAUAAGGAAUCUCACGCAACGCAAAUAGACUGAGCAAGGAUGGCAAUAUACAAAAUAGACUCCACUUGUAAAAAUGAUUACAAGUAGAGAGUCAAAUAGAUCAUGGCCCGAUGAAAUGAACAAGACAUGGUCAGAACCUAAAUUGGUUGAUGAAGGGAGUAUGAUGGGAGACUGAUGGGAGACUAUUAAUUCAGCCCCAAGCAUAUUUCUAUGCCCAUCGUAGAGAUGACAAGGUCAAGGAUUAGUAUUUUAUUAGAUACGGAGGGAAAACAAUCAUAAUAUUAAGUUGGUAUGUCUUCGAUAGAUAUGAGGAAACCAAAGGCAUCAAACUCAAGAAAUUGAUCGGACAUGUCUUUCCUGGGUUAGGUUGAUAAAAUAAUGACAUGAUCCUCAAGAAGAGGCAAACUGGAAUAAAGGAUAUAAGCUUGCACCAACCAAAUAAGGACAUGGUUUAGGAUGGAGACAAGACCACAAAAGAGUCACAUAUUAACUAUCUAGAACACAGACUCGAGAUCCUUAUUUUAAGUCUGCGUGUAUUUUACAUCCAACAAAAAGAUUAUCUAAGCAUUCAUUUGCACGAGUUUGGUCAUGGAGUGAUAACGGAAAAUUCAAAUUCAUCCAUGCUUAGAGAUUUGGAGGAAGUUUCAGAGAAAUGACAAAGUUAUGGUUUAAACCUCUUAUUAUUUCAAAGAUGGAGAUGAUGAGGAUACAUCCUGGUUGAAUUGAGAAGAUUCCAAAUCUUGUGAAAUGAUAAGCUUAACACAAGAUGACACAUAGGAUGAAUAGUUGAGUUUAAUACGGGUUUAGGUCAAGGUUCACUAAAUGAGCACAUGACCUAGCUUUGGGUUUAGGCAAACAAGUCACCAACAUUCUAUCAGCACAUCAAAUACAAGAGCAAACACCAUUUGCACUAAUGGUCAAAUUAAGAAAAGCUGGAAGCCAUCUAAACACGUAUCUCUAAGACACCACAUUAUUUACAAUCACCAAGUAUUGGAAUAAAGGUGAGAGAAGCAUGUUGGUGCACAGGGGACAAACAUGAUGCAACAAUCAGGAUGCAUGCUCGUCCUGUUCAUCCUCACAAGUUUUGUCAAUAUAAUGUGGCAAUAGCGUUCUAUAUCGGUGGCAUUCUAACGACUCUCUCGUUAUUUUGCUAGUCGUCGGCUACAUAUAAAUUUUCGAGAUUAAUGUACCUGCAGAAAAUUCCAUCAUAGCCCAAUUUUCCAUGAUGCAAGAUCCACACAUGACAGUUUUAUCACAAUUUAUACUCCAUAUAUUGCUAUAUGGAGGCUAGCUCCUCAUUAAGCGUCGAGCCACGCAUAGGCGCCGCUGUCACACUUUAACCAUAGGACAACCCAUUAUGGUAACUCACCUUACCUAGACGUAGGUGUGUUGCUGCAAGCACAUUACACUUCUCAGUAUUCCCAUGUCUGUAUAACCAUACACAUCCAUGGGGUACAGAAUCCCUGAAAAUUAAAUACUCCACAUCGCAGCCUUCAUAUAUACAUAUAUGUGUAACAUGUAUAUAAUCAAGCCCUUUUUUAUGCUCUCCCCUAGACCGACGUUUGUUCGGUCAUUCUCUCACAUCUCACCUUACCUGAGCAUCGAUCCAUUCAAGACUGAAUGACCUCAAAAAUAACAAUACACAUGUAUGCAAUUAUCCCCUGGUUGUGGGUUAGUGUUUUGAGCUAAGCCACCUCAUAGUCCUUAAUUUAGGGCUUAACAGAGGAUGUCGCUAGCAUUAUAGUUUUUCAAAUAUGCUUUUCAAAACCAAAUAAUGUGUUUACUUGAAAAUAGGUUUUCUAAAACCAAAACUUUGUUUUGAAAUAAGUUUGUGACCGUAUUAUACUUAAUCCUGCUCAGAUACCAGUUGUGGCAGAAUCUCCCAAGUUAUUGGGCCACAUGUACAUGUCCUCGUCUCAAAGACCUUAGACGGCUAUGCAUGUGCACCGGAUAACUUAACAGGAUCUGUCCGAGUGUCCCAAGGACCCCGAAUAAACCACUUACAACUAGGAUCGCAAGAUUAAGUAAACACAAAUCACACAACAACAUUUGUAGCAGAAUUUCUUUAUUACAAAAAGUUACAAGUUACAACAAAUUUACAUUAUAUUUAUCGGAGUGAUUACAAAAUUGAUUCAAAGAAAUAUACUUUGAAAUGUUAUAAAUUAUUUAUAAUUUUGAAAUAUAUGCUAGCUCAAUGACAAUCCUUAAUAAGAAGUAUAGAAGAGCUACUUUAACCUAUAAGAAGGUCGAGCCCACUGGCACUAAGCACCAUCAACAGCAGCACAAAUCUAGUACCUGCAACAACAUGGGUUCGAAAACACUGAGUACGGAGUGUACUUUCGCAAGUCUUACCCGUUUAAGGAAAAAGACUCUCAAGGAUAUGCUGGCUUUUGGGAAUCAAGGUAAAGCUUAUGAAGAUUCAAAGACUCUUUUUGCAGAAAGGCUUACUAGUAGUGGAUCCUUAUGCAAAAAUUUUACUUCACAAGUUAAGUACUUUUCCUGAAUCUAGUUUUGCCUAAUCUAGAGCAUUCACUUGUUCUGGUCUAGCUUUCUUUUACCAAAUUCUUAUUUUACUUAUUAACUACGAUGAGUGGUCGGAGGGUAGAGUCUCCAUGACUGAGGAGCAACGACGAUUCGAAUCAAUUAUACCCAGCUGGGGAUCCCUAACCACAUGACAUAUGUAGCACUUAACCCUUGCAUAUGUCAACCGUUCCCACAGAUCCUCCACAACGUGAACCGGUCCGCGCUACCGGGAGCACAGUACUCCUCCGUCCAGCCUCUAGCCAGGAGGUACACGCUACUCCCACCAUCUCCCACGCCCAGUGCGCGGUUGUCUUUUCACGUAUGGAAUAGCCGAGUUCAGGCUUACCGAAGCAUGUGGCAAGUUGCAAAGUCUCCACCACAACAGGCCUACAUCGAACGGUCCUUAAUCGACGCAGAAGGGCGAACUUUCCUGCUCAACGUCUGGUCUACAUUACAUAUUAUUUCCCAAAACUUGAUACCUGAGAGAGGCACCCUACUUGAAUUAUGAAAUCAUUGCGGCCACAAUGGGUUCAUCAUCACAAGUCCUUUUAUUUCACAAACUCCCAUAUCCCGUGUUACACAUCAUCUUUCAAAAACCAUCCUAAAUUAAUAAGCAGGGCUAAGCAUCACUAAAUUUUCAUAAAACAGGUAUUAGGGUUGUUUAAUCAAGGAAGGAAAUGCAUCAACUGUUUGAUCACACAACUCCUAUAACCUAAUGCAUCAUUCAAGGUGAUAAAUUUUUGUAAACAUCAAGGAAAGAGGUGAAUGCACCGGGGCUUGCCUAGGAUAAACACUACGUUAGUGUUGUUAGAGACAUCUGGUUGGCGAACAUCGAAAAUCCUGGUACGGUCAAUCCAUUCAUCUUCUGUCGACAUAGUCACUGAGAUAUCGUCGGUCCAUGCCCUUCAUCUCGCACGAUCAUUAGCGUACCUACAUGAUAUGCGAGAUGCACAUGAAUGGAUAGGAGCAUAGAUAGCACAUCAACUAAAUCAAGAACCACACCACUUGUUCUAAUAAAUAGGGCCUUGUCAAACAACAUAAGAGUUUUCCCAAGAUCAUAAUUUAAACCCUACAGAUUUAAAAUACUAAGGUGGAAUGUCUACUAUGUAAUUUCCAUAUUCCUUUGAAGGGGACUUAAGGGUAAUACAUGCUUUCAACUAAUUGAGUAACGAUGAAUAUUUAUUCAAGACGAUUAGGUUAAGCAGUCAAGCUCCAUUUAUGACUUUUAAUCAAUCAACAAAUAUAACACCCGACAAUUACUAAGGCAAGACAAUAAUGAAAUGAUAAAAUCAGUACAAAUAACUCUAGGCGAAUAUGUUUAGCUAACUGAUUGAAUUACCAAACUUAUUCUAUAUAUUCACUAAAACACUUGUAGCAUAAUAAGCACGUCAAACUUAAAACCACAAGAACUAACCAAUCCUAGUGACCUACACAAAAGAAUUUCCAAACAAACAUUUUAAUACUUGCUGAUUUUGGACAUCAAGACAACAACUAUUUGUUUAGCUCAUAACUCACAAGAUAUUCAUCCUAAAAUAGUAAACUAGGACUUUCUGGAAAGCUUAUGAAGUUCUCUACAACUUUGGUAUUACCAUCAGAACAAGAUUCAACAUUUAGAAAUGUCAAAUAGUGCUAAACGUAAAUUCUGUCUAGAUUUGGACAGAAUUCGACUACUCACUUCAAAAAUUCAUAACUGGAGUCUCGAGAAUCUAAUUCAGGUGAUCCUAGACUUUUUCGAAAGCUAAUAGAAUUGUAUACAAUUCAUUUAUAAAUAUCUCAGGUUAAUUCAAUACAUAUCAAGGUCAAAAGACAUGAGAAAAGCUCUGCUGUCCAAAUUUAAACAGAUUCAGAGUUCACACUUCAAACAACUGUAACUUAACUUAUAGAUCAUCAAAAAGGGUGAUCCAAGACUUUUUAGAAAGAUUAAAAACAGUACUACAAUUCUUCUAUAAUUACUAAGGGUUGAUUCUCAGUUUAAUUUAGUCAAACAAGGCAAUUUUCGAAAUCAGUACAAAAUUUGGACAGAUUCAGGUACUGGACUUUGAAAAAUCAUAACUCUUAAACUACUAAACCUAUGGUCAUAAAAUGUUUACACAAAUAAGAUAAAGAAGUUGGCUACAACUUCUGUAUAUAACAUUUCUACAGAAAAUAUGGUUUACUUCAUGGAACUAGCUGCAUAACUAAAACUGUACAUGCAGCCCUAAACAGUAAUACAUUCAAUUUAACUCCUAUUUGGCUUCUAGAAUUAUCAUGUUCUUGACGCUUACUAACGCAAGGAAUUAAUGUUACUACACAAUUGAAAUUCAGAUAAAUAACACUAAUAGUUCUUAUCGGCUAGACAAUUUAAAAUGCUAAUCCUACUUCUCGCAUUAUUAAUUAAAUCUCACCUAGCACACAAGUCUAACAACACAUGACGCGACUACUGCAUAUUCAUGAAAACAAUCACAACACCAUAUGAGAGGAAACAUUUCUGCAACACAUUAUGAGCAACAUAUAACCCAAAGGAAAAGAGAAAGAUAUCCUUCCCUGAGCAUUGCCACAGUAUAACUAACCAAUCCAACUAAUAGUAAAAACAAAUCAGCUCACCAUAAUCGAAUCGACUCGAUAUAUGCAAGAACGGCGACAGUUCCUUGGUUCUAUUUCGUCGAACACCUAGAGCGCACCGAACUGAAACAUAUUUCCUUCAUCGAUUCAGUCACUUCAUCGAACAUAAGGGAUGCAAGCUAGCAGAGACAGCGGGGGGCUCACCGGCAUGGACGACGUCGUGGCCUGGGCGAGCACAUGGGGAGCAACGUCGGCAUGGGGAGGCAUGGCCGACGGCGCACAGCCGGAGUUGACGACAACAGAGCUGAGAGGGGCAGGGCCGGUGGGCUAAGGGAGCUGGCGAGCAUUGGCACGGUUGGAGAAGGAGCAGGGCUUAGAGGCGCUUGUGCCAUAGAGCUUGGCUACCGGCGAGCUGAUGCAGGGCGCUGGAAGCUCGAGCAUAUGGAGCAGCUUGGCUACCGGCAAAGACCAAGCGUAGACGAGCUGAACAUAUCCAGGGAGCCAUGACUUCAGGAACAGACACUACAACACAAACC
This 11700-nucleotide long non-coding RNA is filed under the name Zea mays. RNAcentral describes it as "long non-coding RNA (ZMAY_LNC001704)". Lineage: Eukaryota; Viridiplantae; Streptophyta; Magnoliopsida; Poales; Poaceae. The record is from RNAcentral.